GCUGGACCGCCUGUACAGGAAGGGCGUGGUGACGGAGGCCGAGGUCAAGGUCUACAUCCAGCAGCUGGUGGAGGGGCUGCACUACCUGCACAGCCAUGGCGUUCUCCACCUGGACAUAAAGCCCUCUAACAUCCUGAUGGUGCAUCCUGCCCGGGAAGACAUUAAAAUCUGCGACUUUGGCUUUGCCCAGAACAUCACCCCAGCAGAGCUGCAGUUCAGCCAGUACGGCUCCCCUGAGUUCGUCUCCCCCGAGAUCAUCCAGCAGAACCCUGUGAGCGAAGCCUCCGACAUUUGGUGAGUGGGUGGCUGGGCCAACGGGUCUGGGUCUGCAACUUCUCCGGGAAGCCAGUUCCCACAGAUGGCUGGGCCCUCUCCUCUGCCCCGGGGAGGCAGCAGGCAGCCUACUGGUCAGCCAAGGGGUCCUCCCUGAACCUGUCUCCUCCUGCAGCCCUGGGCUCCCCACUUCCCUGUGUGUGUGCCUCUUACCUGACAGCCAGGCCUGGGGUGACACACAGUGUGCGCUUUUGUCUUGCAGGGCCAUGGGUGUCAUCUCCUACCUCAGGUGAGCAGAGCCCUGCCCCAUCAGCUGCCUCCUCCAAAGCUGACAUGAGACCCCUCCCUUGUAGGCCCACCGAGGGCAUGUGCACUGCUGGCUGCUCCCCAUAUCAGAAACCUGAGACCCAAGGGGCUACUAUCUUGGGAACAGGCGGUCAGCCAACCCUGAUAAGAGGUUCCUGCCCGGAGUGUCUCACAAACACCCUGUCAUCAGAGGGCUGUGCUGGGUCACGAGGCAGCCAAACCACUGCCCUGCAGGACUGGGGGUUGUCCAGCAGCC
Molecule: long non-coding RNA, 835 nt
Filed under: Homo sapiens (human)
Lineage: Eukaryota; Metazoa; Chordata; Mammalia; Primates; Hominidae
Description: HSALNT0023349
Source: RNAcentral